Sarcophilus harrisii (Tasmanian devil) is the source of this 99-nucleotide small nuclear RNA. The record is from Ensembl. NCBI's taxonomy places the organism in Eukaryota, Metazoa, Chordata, Mammalia, Dasyuromorphia, Dasyuridae.
UUGUUUUGGCAGCACAUAUAUUAAAAUUCAAAUGAUUAGAGAUUUGCAUGACCCCUGCACAAAGAUGACAUGCACAUUUCUAAACAAUUCCGUAUCUUU